UACGGAGGAUGCAAGCGUUAUCCGGAUUUAUUGGGUUUAAAGGGUUCGUAGGCGGAAAAAUAAGUCAGUGGUGAAAGCCUGCAGCUUAACUGUAGAAUUGCCAUUGAUACUGUUUUUCUUGAAUAUAUAUGAAGUGGGCGGAAUGCGUCAUGUAGCGGUGAAAUGCACAGAUAUGACGCAGAACACCGAUAGCGAAGGCAGCUCACUAAUAUAUUAUUGACGCUCAGGAACGAAAGCAUGGGGAGCGAAC
RNAcentral lists this ribosomal RNA (250 nucleotides) under uncultured bacterium. Its description in RNAcentral is "partial 16S ribosomal RNA". It matches the Rfam family "Bacterial small subunit ribosomal RNA", at positions 524 to 773 of the family's 1533-position model. The record is from RNAcentral.